This 386-nucleotide ribosomal RNA is filed under the name uncultured bacterium. Its description in RNAcentral is "bacterial SSU rRNA". It matches the Rfam family "Bacterial small subunit ribosomal RNA", at positions 29 to 416 of the family's 1533-position model. The record is from RNAcentral.
AUUGAACGCUGGCGGCAUGCCUUACACAUGCACGUCGAACGGCAGCACGGGGGCAACCCUGGUGGCGAGUGGCGAACGGGUGAGUAAUACAUCGGAACGUAUCCUGUUGUGGGGGAUAACUAGUCGAAAGAUUAGCUAAUACCGCAUAAGCUCGGAAGAGGAAAGCAGGGGACCGGAAACGGCCUUGCGCGAUUGGAGCGGCCGAUGUCCGAUUAGCUAGUUGGUGGGGAAAGGCCUACCAAGGCGACGAUCGUAGCUGGUCUGAGAGGAUGAUCAGCCACACUGGGACUGAGACACGGCCCAGACUCCUACGGGAGGCAGCAGUGGGGAAUCUUGCGCAAUGGGCGAAAGCCUGACGCAGCGACGCCGCGUGAGGGAUGACGGCC